RNAcentral lists this ribosomal RNA (393 nucleotides) under Vibrio alginolyticus. Its description in RNAcentral is "bacterial SSU rRNA". It matches the Rfam family "Bacterial small subunit ribosomal RNA", at positions 411 to 796 of the family's 1533-position model. The record is from RNAcentral. Lineage: Bacteria; Pseudomonadati; Pseudomonadota; Gammaproteobacteria; Vibrionales; Vibrionaceae.
AAGGCCUUCGGGUUGUAAAGUACUUUCAGUCGUGAGGAAGGCGGCGUCGUUAAUAGCGGCGUUGUUUGACGUUAGCGACAGAAGAAGCACCGGCUAACUCCGUGCCAGCAGCCGCGGUAAUACGGAGGGUGCGAGCGUUAAUCGGAAUUACUGGGCGUAAAGCGCAUGCAGGUGGUUUGUUAAGUCAGAUGUGAAAGCCCGGGGCUCAACCUCGGAAUAGCAUUUGAAACUGGCAGACUAGAGUACUGUAGAGGGGGGUAGAAUUUCAGGUGUAGCGGUGAAAUGCGUAGAGAUCUGAAGGAAUACCGGUGGCGAAGGCGGCCCCCUGGACAGAUACUGACACUCAGAUGCGAAAGCGUGGGGAGCAAACAGGAUUAGAUACCCCGGUAGUCA